Molecule: non-coding RNA, 263 nt
Organism: Musa acuminata subsp. malaccensis (wild Malaysian banana)
Lineage: Eukaryota; Viridiplantae; Streptophyta; Magnoliopsida; Zingiberales; Musaceae
Source: RefSeq, a predicted model, not a curated record
AAACAUUUCUGCAUAGUGUCCGGGAUCUUCUAAGCAUCCAUUCGAAUUCUCAAUCAGCAUUACCGACAUAUGUAUCAGCACAUGGUAUAGUUCAGCAGAUAUCAGGAUUGCAGUCUGACUUGCUGUCUCUUCAGUUUGAACUCGAAAACUCUCUUCCAGAAGACCGAAGAAGAUGUAUCAAUGAACUAUGCACCCUUAUUCAGACCCUGGAGCAGUUAUUGUUCUCGUCAUUAACGACAGCAAAACCAUUGUUAACACCUAGG